RNAcentral lists this ribosomal RNA (484 nucleotides) under uncultured bacterium. Its description in RNAcentral is "partial 16S ribosomal RNA". It matches the Rfam family "Bacterial small subunit ribosomal RNA", at positions 30 to 507 of the family's 1533-position model. The record is from RNAcentral.
AUUGAACGCUGGCGGCAGGCCUAACACAUGCAAGUCGAGCGGAUGAAGGGAGCUUGCUCCUGGAUUCAGCGGCGGACGGGUGAGUAAUGCCUAGGAAUCUGCCUGGUAGUGGGGGAUAACGUCAGGUAACGGGAGCUAAUAUCGCAUCCGUUCUGAGGGAGAAAGAGGGGGAUCUUCGGACAUCACGCUAUCAGAUGAGCCUAGGUAGGAUUAGCUAGUUGGUGGGGUAAAGGCCUACCAAGGCGACGAUCAGUAACUGGUCAGAGAGGAUGAUCAGUCACACUGGAACGGAGACACGGUCCAGACUCCUACGGGGGGCAGAGGAGGGGAAUAUUGGACAUUGAGCGAAGGCCUGAUCCAGCCAUGCCGCGUAGGUGAGGAAGUUCUUCGGUUGGUAAAGCACUUUAAGUGGGGAGGAAGGGCAGUAAGUUAAUACCUUGCUGUUUUGACGUUACCAACAGAAUAAGCACCGGCUAACUUCGUG